AACGAACGCUGGCGGCAUGCCUAACACAUGCAAGUCGAACGAAGCCUUCGGGCUUAGUGGCGCACGGGUGCGUAACGCGUGGGAAUCUGCCCUUGGGUUCGGAAUAACAGUUAGAAAUGACUGCUAAUACCGAAUGAUGUCUUCGGACCAAAGAUUUAUCGCCCAAGGAUGAGCCCGCGUCGGAUUAGCUAGUUGGUGAGGUAAAGGCUCACCAAGGCGACGAUCCGUAGCUGGUCUGAGAGGAUGAUCAGCCACACUGGGACUGAGACACGGCCCAGACUCCUACGGGAGGCAGCAGUGGGGAAUAUUGGACAAUGGCGGAAAGGACCGUGAUCCACGCAAUAG
RNAcentral lists this ribosomal RNA (345 nucleotides) under uncultured bacterium. RNAcentral describes it as "bacterial SSU rRNA". It matches the Rfam family "Bacterial small subunit ribosomal RNA", at positions 29 to 397 of the family's 1533-position model. The record is from RNAcentral.